AAAAUAAGUAUGAACAAUUAAAAAUUUCUAAUUUUUAUUUAUUUUAUGGUUUAAAUCCAUUUUUAUUUUU
RNAcentral lists this transfer RNA (70 nucleotides) under Euceros kiushuensis. RNAcentral describes it as "tRNA-Ser". Lineage: Eukaryota; Metazoa; Arthropoda; Insecta; Hymenoptera; Ichneumonidae. The record is from RNAcentral.